RNAcentral lists this small nuclear RNA (104 nucleotides) under Castor canadensis (American beaver). Lineage: Eukaryota; Metazoa; Chordata; Mammalia; Rodentia; Castoridae. The record is from RNAcentral.
GCACUCACUUCGGCAGCAUAUAUACUAAAAUUGGAACAAUACAGAGAUUAGCAUGGUCCCUGCAGAAAGAUGACAAACAAAUUCAUGAAGUGUUCCAUAAGAAA